RNAcentral lists this ribosomal RNA (254 nucleotides) under uncultured bacterium. RNAcentral's name for it is "partial 16S ribosomal RNA". It matches the Rfam family "Bacterial small subunit ribosomal RNA", at positions 524 to 776 of the family's 1533-position model. The record is from RNAcentral.
GACGUAGGGCGCGAGCGUUGUCCGGAUUUAUUGGGCGUAAAGAGCUCGUAGGCGGCUUGUCGCGUCGACUGUGAAAACCCGUGGCUCAACCAUGUGGUCUGCAGUCGAUACGGGCAGGCUAGAAUUCGGUAGGGGAGACUGGAAUUCCUGGUGUAGCGGUGAAAUGCGCAGAUAUCAGGAAGAACACCCGUGGCGAAGGCGGCUCUCUGGGACGGUACUGACGCUGAGACGCGAAAGCGUGGGGAGCGAACAGG